Triticum aestivum (bread wheat) is the source of this 125-nucleotide non-coding RNA. The record is from Rfam. Lineage: Eukaryota; Viridiplantae; Streptophyta; Magnoliopsida; Poales; Poaceae.
AUAGUACUCCAUCCGCCUUGAUUAACUUGUCACAGGAAUGGAUAAAAAUGGAUGUAUCUAUAACUAAAAUACAUCUAGAUACAUCCAUUUCCGUGACAAGUAAUUCCAGACGGAGGGAGUAUGUA